This 433-nucleotide ribosomal RNA is filed under the name uncultured bacterium. RNAcentral's name for it is "bacterial SSU rRNA". It matches the Rfam family "Bacterial small subunit ribosomal RNA", at positions 957 to 1391 of the family's 1533-position model. The record is from RNAcentral.
GAACGCGAAGAACCUUACCAAGUCUUGACAUCCUUUGACCACUCUAGAGAUAGAGCUUUCCCUUCGGGGACAAAGUGACAGGUGGUGCAUGGUUGUCGUCAGCUCGUGUCGUGAGAUGUUGGGUUAAGUCCCGCAACGAGCGCAACCCUUAUUACUAGUUGCCAGCAUUGAGUUGGGCACUCUAGUGAGACUGCCGGUGACAAACCGGAGGAAGGUGGGGAUGACGUCAAAUCAUCAUGCCCCUUAUGACUUGGGCUACACACGUGCUACAAUGGAUGGUACAACGAGCAGCGAACUCGCGAGGGUAAGCGAAUCUCUUAAAGCCAUUCUCAGUUCGGAUUGUAGGCUGCAACUCGCCUACAUGAAGCCGGAAUCGCUAGUAAUCGCGGAUCAGCACGCCGCGGUGAAUACGUUCCCGGGUCUUGUACACACC